This 761-nucleotide long non-coding RNA is filed under the name Monodelphis domestica (gray short-tailed opossum). Its description in RNAcentral is "lncRNA (ENSMODG00000041601.1)". The record is from RNAcentral. Lineage: Eukaryota; Metazoa; Chordata; Mammalia; Didelphimorphia; Didelphidae.
AAUUAACCUGUGAAAGAUACAGGAAGAAAAGCUAGUAUGCAGUUGAGUAUGAAGAAAAUGGGAGAAAGGGGUAUUUGAAGUGAAAAAUAACAUUUUACUUUAUGAGUUCUCUCUAUUAGCUUCUGCAAGUCCAUCACCUACUUUGUGGACAUCCUAAUUGUCCAUUAGUCUUUGAUCACCAGUUGCUUUGAAAAUGUUAGCCUUCUUAACUACUGAACAUAUUGGAAAAGCCAAGCCCUUAAAGAGAGUCCAGAGUCAUUCAAGCCCAGUGGGAAGACAAAAGUUAGAACAAUUGGCUGUGGCCCAGGAUGCAUAGGACAACUUUGGCCUCAAUGAUGUCUGGCCAUGCUCUUAUCAUUCCAUAGCACCUAUUUCAGCUGUUUUCAUGGAGAUUGGAACAAAUUGUUCUCAAUGACCUAUUCCACUCAAGGAAGUCUUCACAUGCCUGGGUUCCAGAAAACGAAACAACAAUAACAACCCAAAAGCAUUAUUCGUUGUCUCCGGUUUGUUGAAAAUGAAUCACUGGGAAGCACAGGACUCUCGUUUUGCUCAAAGAACUUAAUAGAACACCCACAGCAAACUUGGGAGUCACAUUGUUCUCGCCAAUUACUGGAGAGGCCUCUGGUUUCUCCAUUUUAAUUGCUCUAAGCAGGGAAGCUUUAGUCACUGUGCAACGUACCCAAGCAUGUAUGGAGUUUAAUGAAUCAUACUAAGUCUGCACUCUAAGCAAUUAGGUAAAUCUAGCUGUUAGUUAGUGAGGC